Molecule: ribosomal RNA, 253 nt
Filed under: uncultured bacterium
Lineage: Bacteria
Description: partial 16S ribosomal RNA
Rfam family: Bacterial small subunit ribosomal RNA
Source: RNAcentral
GACAGAGGAUGCAAGCGUUAUCCGGAAUGAUUGGGCGUAAAGCGUCUGUAGGUGGCUUUUCAAGUCCGCCGUCAAAUCCCAGGGCUCAACCCUGGACAGGCGGUGGAAACUACCAAGCUGGAGUACGGUAGGGGCAGAGGGAAUUUCCGGUGGAGCGGUGAAAUGCGUUGAUAUCGGAAGGAACGCCGGUGGCGAAAGCGCACGACUGGACCUCUUCUGACGCUGAGGCGCGAAAGCCAGGGGAGCAAACGGG